AUACUUACCUGGCAGGGGAGAUACCAUGAUCACGAAGGUGGUUUUCCCAGGGCGAGGCUUAUCCAUUGCACUCCGGAUGUGCUGACCCCUGCGAUUUCCCCAAAUGUGGGAAACUCGACUGCAUAACUUGUGGUAGUGGGGGACUGCGUUCGCGCUUUUCCCUG
This is a small nuclear RNA of 164 nucleotides. Its record names the gene U1. It matches the Rfam family "U1 spliceosomal RNA". From Rfam's summary of the family: U1 is a small nuclear RNA (snRNA) component of the spliceosome (involved in pre-mRNA splicing). Its 5' end forms complementary base pairs with the 5' splice junction, thus defining the 5' donor site of an intron. The record is from Ensembl.